AACAAUGCAUUAAGCUGAAUUGUCCAUUACAUUUCUAUUUAAGACAUUGUAAUUACAUGAAAGAUAGCAUUACCAGUAAGAACAAAAUUUAUCAUAGGAGAGUGCUAAUGCAUUUAGAUGCAAUGAGAGUAGGUUUAAUUAUAGUACAUUUAGGAUCGAUAUGCCCAGGGCAAUAAACUUUACAACAACAUACGAAGGUUUAAUAAGCAUGAAACAUAAGAACAAUGUAGGCUAAACCUUCCAUGCAUCUGAAAAGCUGAAAUGCAAAGAAGUUUUUAUUUAUUGCCUCAGGUAAAAAAGUCUGCAGACACAGAUAAGUGAUGACAAAGCUUUGAUGUUAAUAAACCCAAAUGGAAGUCAAAAAUCAAAGUGUGUAAACGGCUAGGUUAUAGAAAGAAAGAUGACAGAGUUAUACCCUGUAAUUAGGUGUAAUUUGUGCUUUUGGCACAGCUAUUUGUCCUGCAUGAAUAAGAGGUUGUCUUAUGUUUUCUUGUCCCUGUAUAAUAGAAUUGCAUUACAGGCACAUCCCACUUCAAACCUCCCUUGAUUUUUUUUUUUUUCCCAAGAACUAUUUGAAAGGAGUGUGCAUGUUGCUUCCUUUUUAUGUGAGUGUUGCAGUUAGCUUGCCAUUCCUGGUACUUGAAAAUAAUCAUGAGCUCAGUGCUUAUAAAACACUUGCAGUAAGAAACAGAGUAAUAAUUCUAGUAAAAUGCAACCAACUCACAAAAUGAGUUUCUGCCCUGAGUAUAAAUCAGAGAUGCUUGCAUGUUAUACAAGUAAAUUACAUCAAAACUAGAAAAUUAAUAAUCCAGUUUUAAUUAUUUAAUGAGUUGUUCUGUUCAACAGCUGCAUAAUUGGUAGUCUCAUCCAUAUUUUAAACUGUUGUGGAACAAAUUGCUGUUAAUUUUAUUUAGUUGAUUCCUGUCUUCGUUUUAUGAUGUCUAUGCACGAGACAUCAAUUUUUCAGUGCUGAAACCUAUUUUACAACCAUCUUUCUGUCACGCACUGUGAAUAUUUAAACAGAAAUAAUACAUUGUACUUUCUGUGUUACAAAGAAGCUGAAAAGAUCUGUUGAGUCAGAGAAAAGUGCUAAUUUACGUAUGGCUAUAUAUCUAUACAGGUAUCACUUCUUAAACUUCCCUCUUAGGGGAUAAUUUCCAUAUUUUUAGGCAUGCUAAAUUGUCUGUGCCUUUAAUGGAACUACCACAUGGUUGGCUACUGAGACAUGGGUUUAAUCUCUGCUGUGAAGUUCACAGUUGUCAUUUGAUGAGAUGUGAAAUCCCCUGCCAGAGCACCUUUUGCUUGGCCGCAUUACACGUUUGAGGUUGUAAAUCCAUUAUGUGCAAUGUGAGAAUUGACUGCUCCAGCAGUGCAAAGCCACUUGCCCAAGCUCAUUUUCCUCACAGUCAUGAAAAUGCAUGAAACAAAAUUAAAAUUAAAAAAAAAACUUAUUUUUAUCUUUACUUGAAUAUGAUUUUCCUCUUUUUGCAGUGUCUACUGCUUUUUACUUGAAAUUUGAGCCUGCCACGUUCAUGAAAUUCCCAAAUGUGACCAUGCCUGUGAACACUGUGGAGUGGUUACAUGUCAGUGAUCCCUGGUGGCACGAGGUGACAUUCUGCCUCCUGGAUGUGUCCUGUCUUCUAUUAGAUCCUUACAAGGAUGUAUGCUUAUAUUAUGGUGCUUAAGUCUGUUCAUUUCUUUUUCAUUGUCUUUUCAGUUAUGAAGGUUUUUUGCAUGAAUUCGACCUUGGAGGACAAACUCCCCGGUGGGGAAGGUUGCCCUUUCUUGUUUCAGGCAUUUCCUUUCUGUUUGGGUUGAGCAGGCUGCAGUUUCCCUUCUGAUGAUGUCUGUUCAUUCAGAAGUGAGGCAUUCCUUCCUCCCAGCCCAGCACCAUCCCUGCAUUCUUACAUGCCUCUCUUUCUCCCACUGUCAUAUCCAGUCCAGGAACUGCCUUGGGCUACACUGGGGAAGAGGAUUUGCCAAGUCUGUAAGUAUUUCUGCUGUUGAAGGAAUAAUCUUCUUGUUACAAAACCAGUUAUGUAAGUAUUUAAUUUCAAAGGUCACAUUUGGUAAGCUAAAGUGGUUGGCUAAAAUUUCUGGAAGCCUACAUGAGGUAUUAAAUUAAAAAAAAAAAAAAAAAAAAAGGCAAAUCCCCAAACUGUAUUUAAACUUUUGCCCAUGCUGUCAGAACUUAAAAUUAGCUUCAGAAGAUUUAAGUGAAAUCUGAUACUUUUUGAUAUGAUUCUACUGAAGUAAUUUCAGAUCUUAUUUUGAGACUGAAUGGGAUUCAGUAGGAUUCCAACAAACAUAGAGAAUGAAUGUUAUAGGAGUACAGCCUCCAGGAGAAAUUCAGUAACAGUGCAGUGACCUGGUGGUUACAAUUCUAGGUGCUUGUAGACGGAUUGUCCUCAUCGCUACAGGAUUUCUGCAGCCUUAAAAUAUGAAGAAUUCAGAUCUUAUAUGCUGUGUAUAUUCAACAGGUGCCAAAAGGAUCUGUGUCAGCAGAGGCUCUUGCUCGGGUUCAUUUUUCACCUGAUGGACAGAAACAGAAGGACAUGGAGUUCAUCUCCAGAUACAGCAUUCACGUUCCUUCUGCUAACUUUUCCCUACUGGUGGGAUAAACAGAAUCAUUGAAGGACUACAGAAUCAGAAUAUAUAUUUCUUUAAAGAGGGUGUUGUUUCUGCUAUUUCAUCCAAACAAAAUGAACAAUUAUUUUCUAAUAGAAUUAUGACCAUAAGCCAAAAUGUAGAAUGCCUCAUUUUACUGAUUUGUACAUCCGAGUUCCCCAUACUUGUGUUUAAUAAAUGUUUGUUUUGGUACCAAAGUGCACAUUGCAGUUUUUACCACCCUUCAUUCCUAACUUUAAUAAAAGCUUGUUUUGCCUUUUUUUUUUUUCCUGUAAAUCUCACGCAAACAUUUUGAAAAUUGUCAAAAGAAAUCCACCGUAGCCUUAAAAAUCAAUUCUGCAAAGGUGAUUGAGUUUGUGCUUUUCUUUUAAAGAUCAAACUUCCUGUAAUACUUCCCAUAUAAUCCCUGUGUAGUUAAAUAGCCCAGCAGUCAUAACAUGCUUGAAAUGUAUGCAAAGCAUUGGCCCAAAGUUUAACUCUUAAUAACAGAAGGAUCAAAGGACAUGAUUCCUUUUAAAUAAAACAUGAUACAGACAUAAAUGUUAGUCUGAGUGAAGGCUUUGAAAGCAUGCAUUUUGGAUAUUUUAUAUGUAGAUUAAAAUCAGUUUGCCUUGUCUCGGACAGAGAAAGAAAUCUCGCACACCUUCGUCAUUCUGAAACCAAUGCUGUCAUCUCAGUUUGUGCACUGAUUUAUGGCUCUGAUGGAGGAUGAUGGCUCUCAGGGAGGCAAUCUGUGGUAUGCUUCUUGCUUCCUUGUGUACAAAAAUAAAGCGUGCGUGUUCAGAAAUGUGCUUUGAUGUCUUAAAAAAAGACACUGGUAACAGAACAAUCUUGUACAUUUGUAACUUGCCGUGUAACUUGGAAUUAUUAAGUAAACAUUCUUUGAAAGUAACUGUGUUGCUGUAGGGUACUGAAAAUAAUGGGAGCUGCAAUAUCCUAGUCAUAAUUUGAGUGAAUUAUGAAGACAGGUCAGUGGCUUUUUUUCUGUCCUGAAAUUUGUCUUUAAAAAGCCAGUUGUGUGGUCUUACGCAGCUGACUUCUGCUCUUCAGAGCCUCCCACUGGGAUGAACCAAAUCACAGAAGUGUUUGAAGAAGCUGCCUGGCACCAGUGUCCUUUUGUGGUUCAAUUUAAAAGGGGGAUGCUGUGUUUAUAGCAAAUUUAUGUCCGCUUUUCCCAAGCUAUUGUUCUGAAAUGUCAAAUUAUAAAAUAACCUCUGCUGUGGUGAAGUGUAUUUUGUCUCAGUUCUUAAAGAUUUUACAUCUGAAAGUUUUCCCUGUCAUUAAAUAUAAUAUCUUUACUUUCACAUGCUAAUGCACUGCACCAUUUAUGCUUUAGUGUUUCAAUUAAGUACUUGCUAUCCAACAUUUAAAAAGAACACUUUAAUUGUUGAGGACAGGAACAAAUUCACACAGCAUGUAUGUUAACUGUAGUGUUGAAUCAUAGAAUCAUAGAAUGACCUGGCCUGAAAAGGCCCUCGAAGUUCAUCUAGUUUCAAUCCCCCUGCUAUGUGCAGGGUCACUACCCACCA
This is a long non-coding RNA of Centrocercus urophasianus (Greater sage-grouse), 4157 nucleotides long. RefSeq lists it as uncharacterized. The record is from RefSeq and is a predicted model, not a curated record. The transcript is spliced from 3 exons. Lineage: Eukaryota; Metazoa; Chordata; Aves; Galliformes; Phasianidae.